RNAcentral lists this long non-coding RNA (227 nucleotides) under Gossypium barbadense (sea-island cotton). Its description in RNAcentral is "long non-coding RNA (GBAR_LNC022234)". The record is from RNAcentral. Lineage: Eukaryota; Viridiplantae; Streptophyta; Magnoliopsida; Malvales; Malvaceae.
GGAUCAACAUUUUCUUCAUCUCCACCGAAAGAAUCGAUUGUCGUGCAACCUCCCAAUCAGUAUGGUUCAUUUACUGUUGGUUCUAACCUAAUUUUUCUAUCACAAGCAUCAUAACAUGCACACUCAUUCCCUGUAUCAACAUCUUCAGCGUCAGUUUAUUUUACACAAGCACCAUAACACACACAAUCAUUUCCUGCAUCAACACCUUCUCUAAUGAUAUAUUUUGU